CACUGACACAGCCCAAACUUGGGGGAAUAACGGAUAUGAAGCACAAGCUCUACUAUCUGCCCGGGGUUGACGCCAGCAGACCCAUUGUUCAAUUGAACUCUGAAAUUUCUCACAGGUGCAAGGUACGCAUUAUAAAACAGCAUUGGGUUUCACCAUGUGUCAAAUAUGUGCUCUCCACACGGACCGGAGGAAACUCAAAACGCUGACGCUGAACACCGCCAGACCCGCAUAGGUGGACACUAUUUCAGAACUAUCGCUGUAUGACUCCGUCCAGCUCCCGCUGAAGAUUCUCGUGGAUAACGAAAUCCCCAGCAUGGCACAAUGCUUGUGUCCCAUGGUGGUAACUAGCCUGAAACGCAACUACAGUAACUACACAAUGCCUGUUCAUGGAUAGGCCUAGUAACAUGACAGCUUGCUUUACCACAUUUGAACAGGCAUAAAUGUAUAUUACAUAAGCCUGUUGCCCCAACGUGCCUUGCCACUUUAGACAUGCUAAAUCAGCUUAUACUACAUUUAACUAUAUAUGUUUACUCUCAUUCACCCCUCUAGUGAAAACCACAGCUAGCGCACUAUUUAAGCAUCUCCAAACACCAGCUACACCCUACCUGUAUUAAGCUUGAUAAAUCUACAUGUUUUCAAACUAAAGAUAAAAGACAAAAAUUAAAAAUGAGGCAUCGAUAUCCUGGAAAUGUAAAUUAAUCUUGCAGAAUGAUGUAUCAACCCUGUACUGUAAAUCGCUCGUACAUUUCCCCUGCUUUCUCUUAUGUACCCCAUCUUAUAUACCUUUAAUAAAAG
Pelobates cultripes (western spadefoot toad) is the source of this 795-nucleotide non-coding RNA. The record is from the annotation of a GenBank genome assembly. NCBI's taxonomy places the organism in Eukaryota, Metazoa, Chordata, Amphibia, Anura, Pelobatidae.